GUGCUUGCUUGGGCAGCACAUAUACUAAAAAUUGGAACGAUACAGAGAUUAACAUGGCCCCUGCACAAGGAUGACACACAAGUUCAUGAAGCGUUCUAUAUUUUU
Molecule: small nuclear RNA, 105 nt
Organism: Otolemur garnettii (small-eared galago)
Lineage: Eukaryota; Metazoa; Chordata; Mammalia; Primates; Galagidae
Source: Ensembl